GGAUAAAUACUGGAAGGUUUUAUUCUUCAAAGCUUCGGCACCUGAGGAUGGGACUGCGUCGGAUUAGCUUGUUGUCGGGAUAAUUACCCGACAAGGCGAUAAUCCGUACGGGUUGUGAGAGCAAUAGCCCGGAGAUGGAUUCUGAGACAUGAAUCCAGGUCCUACGGGACGCAGCAGGCGCGAAACCUUCACAAUGCCUGAAAGGGUGAUGAGGGAACUCUGAGUGACUUCGCAAUGCGAAGUCUUUUGCCAAGUGCAAAAAGCUCGGUGAAUAAGUGGUGGGCAAGACAGUUGCCAGCCGCCGCGGUAAUAACUGCGCCACGAGUGGUGAUCUCGUUUAUUGGGCUUAAAGCGUUCGUAGCCGGUUUUAUAAGCAUCUGGUGAAAUCCGAUAGUAAACUAUUGGGCUGGCUAGGUGUACUGUAAGACUAGGGACCGGUAGGGGCCGGGAGUACUCCUAGGGUAGGGGUUAAAUCCUUUAAUCCUAGGGGGACUACCAGUGGCGAAGGCGCCCGGCUAGAACGGGUCCGACGGUGAGGGACGAAAGCUGGGGGAGCGAUCCGGAUUAGAUACCCGGGUAGUCCCAGCUGUAAACGAUGCCCGCUUGGUGUGGUGAAACUUUCGUGGUUUUGCCGUACCGUAGCGAAAGUGUUAACCGGGCCGCCUGGGAAGUACGACCGC
RNAcentral lists this ribosomal RNA (680 nucleotides) under uncultured archaeon. RNAcentral describes it as "bacterial SSU rRNA". It matches the Rfam family "Archaeal small subunit ribosomal RNA", at positions 161 to 844 of the family's 1478-position model. The record is from RNAcentral.